GAUGAACGCUAGCGGCAGGCUUAAUACAUGCAAGUUGAGGGGCAGCAUGAUAUGCGCGAGUAUAUUGAUGGCGACCGGCGGACGGGUGAGUAAUAGGUAGGAGACCUACCUCAUACAGGGGGAUAGCAUAGAGAAAUCUGUGGUAAUACCCCAUGAGGUUAUAUGAAUAGAGGCAUAUAAUCAAAGCAUAAGCGAUUAUGCGGUAUGAGAGGGGCCUACUGACCAUUAGCUAGUUGGUGAGGUAAGGGCUCACCAAGGCGAAGAUGGUUAGGGGUUUUGAGAGAGAGACCCCCCACAUUGGAACUGAGAUACGGCCCAGACUCCUACGGGAGGCAGCAGUUGGGAAUCUUAGGCAAUGGACGAAAGUCUGACCUAGCGACGCCGCGUGAGGGAAAAGGCCUUGGGUUGUAAACCUCUGUCAUGGGGAAGAAGUAAGUGACGGUACCCAAGAGGAAGCCCCUGCUAACUACGUGCCAGCAGCCGCGGU
Molecule: ribosomal RNA, 487 nt
Filed under: uncultured bacterium
Lineage: Bacteria
Description: bacterial SSU rRNA
Rfam family: Bacterial small subunit ribosomal RNA
Source: RNAcentral